Molecule: ribosomal RNA, 254 nt
Filed under: uncultured bacterium
Lineage: Bacteria
Description: partial 16S ribosomal RNA
Rfam family: Bacterial small subunit ribosomal RNA
Source: RNAcentral
CACGUAGGGUGCAAGCGUUGUCCGGAUUUAUUGGGCGUAAAGAGCUCGUAGGCUGUUCGAUAAGUCGGGUGUGAAACCUCCAGGCUCAACCUGGAGACGCCACCCGAUACUGUCAUGACUAGAGUCCGGUAGGGGAGCGUGGAAUUCCUGGUGUAGCGGUGAAAUGCGCAGAUAUCAGGAGGAACACCAGCGGCGAAGGCGGCGCUCUGGGCCGGUACUGACGCUGAGGAGCGAAAGCGUGGGUAGCAAACAGG